RNAcentral lists this ribosomal RNA (491 nucleotides) under uncultured bacterium. RNAcentral describes it as "partial 16S ribosomal RNA". It matches the Rfam family "Bacterial small subunit ribosomal RNA", at positions 29 to 507 of the family's 1533-position model. The record is from RNAcentral.
GUGAACGCUGGCGGUAGGCCUAACACAUGCAAGUCGAACGGCAGCACCGUAAGAGCUUGCUCUUACGGGUGGCGAGUGGCGGACGGGUGAGGAAUACAUCGGAAUCUACUUUUUCGUGGGGGAUAACGUAGGGAAACUUACGCUAAUACCGCAUACGACCUACGGGUGAAAGCAGGGGAUCUUCGGACCUUGCGCGAUUGAAUGAGCCGAUGUCGGAUUAGCUAGUUGGCGGGGUAAAGGCCCACCAAGGCGACGAUCCGUAGCUGGUCUGAGAGGAUGAUCAGCCACACUGGAACUGAGACACGGUCCAGACUCCUACGGGAGGCAGCAGUGGGGAAUAUUGGACAAUGGGCGCAAGCCUGAUCCAGCCAUACCGCGUGGGUGAAGAAGGCCUUCGGGUUGUAAAGCCCUUUUGUUGGGAAAGAGAAGCAGCAGGUUAAUACCCCGCUGUUCUGACGGUACCCAAAGAAUAAGCACCGGCUAACUUCGUG